Molecule: long non-coding RNA, 615 nt
Organism: Chelonus insularis
Lineage: Eukaryota; Metazoa; Arthropoda; Insecta; Hymenoptera; Braconidae
Exons: 3
Source: RefSeq, a predicted model, not a curated record
AUCUACUCUAAGUAAUUAAAAGCUAGAUGAUUAUAAUAUUUUCCUAUUUUCAAAAGGUGUUUGUCAUCAAUGAUGAAGAUUAGCUUUCUGAGUAUUCAAUCAUUUUUAGUACUUUGCUAAAACUACAUUCCAACAUGGAGCAAAACACGAUGCUGAAUUAACUGAAUGCAAGUGGAUAAGAAACACCAUAAUUGCAGUCUACAAUUUUCGGAGACAACGACGAGAGGGUUUGGAAAAUGUGGAUGAGAAGCGUGGAAAGAAUGUUCUGGAGCUGGAUAAAAAAAAGGUGGUCAAGAGAAUGGAAAAUUUGGGUUGAUUGAAGCUCAGACAAGUUCUGAUUUGAUUAAUAAAUUUUAGCUUAGAAAUAAAAUUAAAUUUUAUUCAAUAUGUUUGAUAACAUUCUUUGUUACAUUUCAUAGAAAAUAUUUUCUAAAAUUAAGUUAUAGAUAGACUGUAGGUCACGUACUAUAAAUCAUUAGUGUUGCUAAAGGGCAAAGUUACCCUAUAAUGAAUCAAAUAUCUACUUUUAUAUUUUUUCCCACAAAAACAUAGAUGAGUCAAAUGAUAUUACCAAUAAUAUUGAUUUGAAAAUAUGUUUUCAUAAAUAAUACUUGU